GACGAACGCUGGCGGCGUGCUUAACACAUGCAAGUCGAGCGGUAAGGCCCUUUCGGGGGUACACGAGCGGCGAACGGGUGAGUAACACGUGGGUGACCUGCCCUCAGCUCUGGGAUAAGCCUGGGAAACCGGGUCUAAUACUGGAUAUGACUCCAUGACGCAUGUUGUGGGGUGGAAAGCCUUGUGCGGCUGAGGAUGGGCCCGCGGCCUAUCAGCUUGUUGGUGGGGUGAGGCCUACCAAGGCGACGACGGGUAGCCGGCCUGAGAGGGCGACCGGCCACACUGGGACUGAGACACGGCCCAGACUCCUACGGGAGGCAGCAGUGGGGAAUUUUGGACAAUGGGGGCAACCCUGAUCCAGCCAUGCCGCGUGUGUGAAGAAGGG
This 385-nucleotide ribosomal RNA is filed under the name uncultured bacterium. Its description in RNAcentral is "bacterial SSU rRNA". It matches the Rfam family "Bacterial small subunit ribosomal RNA", at positions 28 to 415 of the family's 1533-position model. The record is from RNAcentral.